Acinonyx jubatus (cheetah) is the source of this 2876-nucleotide long non-coding RNA. RefSeq lists it as uncharacterized. NCBI's taxonomy places the organism in Eukaryota, Metazoa, Chordata, Mammalia, Carnivora, Felidae. The transcript has 5 exons. The record is from RefSeq and is a predicted model, not a curated record.
CGUUCUCGUUAGCUUUGUAGUAGUCCGCCGAGUAGAUGUUCCUGGAGAGGCCGAAGUCGGCGAUUUUCACCACCAUGUUCUCGCCCACCAGGCAGUUCCUGGUGGCCAGGUCCCGGUGCACGAACUUGCGCUCCGAGAGCAAUAAAGAGUAGUUACAGUAAGAAGCACAAAUAUUGCAAAGCUGGACAUGAUGGAGAUUAUUACAGUCAUGGAGUAUGUAGGUGAGACGGACAAGGAGGAAGAAGAAGAGGAAGGCAGAUUUGGAAUGUCCACACUUGGCUUUGAGGACGUCAUUGGUGGGAAUGCUGUGCAGUAAGGAAAUCUGAUGUCUAGGAAAGAAGGCAGACAGAAGUCUAACAUUUUGGAAAAUCGUGCUGAUCUCUUACAGCCUUGCAGUGAACAUUUGGAAGUGGCAGUUUUCUAGCUAAUUUCAUAUUUAGCAUGAAGCCAGGAUGAAUGAAAAAGAAAACAAGAAUGUCUGCCUUUCUAUGGAAGAAAUGCCUCUAUGUAGGUAAAGUGUUAUCUCUGCUGCAACAGUAAAAGCUAAGAAGGGGAAAAAACCAAUUUGAACACAAAGGCUCUAUGCAAGAAAUACCUCUAGGUAGGUGAAGUGUUAUCUCUGCACGCAACAGUAAAAGUUAAGAAAAAAAAAGAAAAAAGGAAAAGGGGAAAAAACAAUUUGAACAAAAAGGCUCUAUGGAAGAAAUACCUCUAGGUAGGUGAAGUGUUAUCUCUGCAUACAACAGUAAAAGUCAAGGAAAAGAAAAAAAGAAAAGAAAAAAAAAACAGGAAGAAAAUGCACCUUUUCUUUAGGGAGCAUGGGUGUAAUGGGUGCUUGAACAUCUUUGUCUGAUAACAAAUAUCUAGGCGAUCUUUGGGUUUGUAUUUGUUGCCUGUCUUCUCCUUUGAAGAGUGGUCAGAAUUUUCUUUUUCUCUUAAGUAAUUUGGGGUUGUUUCCUGGAUAUUUUGGACAUUACACUGUGACAUUCUGGGUCCUUGUAAAGUCCUCUGGAGAUGUCCGUUAUUUUUAUUUUGCUUUGUUUUGUUUUAGCAGGCCAUCAAUCCAGUUAGGUUUAGACUACAAGUUCUCUCUUUCUGUGGGUGGUGACCCGAAUAUAAGUUUCGUUUUCAAAGACUUUUCUGUGUUGCUUGGGUCUGCUUCGUCCAUGCCCUUUAGAGGGAUUAGUCAGGGCUGCUAGUGGUUUAUAUUGUCGUUCGGUUCUCAAAGCCAUGCUUCUCCGUGUCUGUUCCACUCACUUGUGGUUCAUGAAUGAGAACAACUUCCUCCUGGUCUACUCCCUGGGAUCUUCCCUACACUUUCUGCCCCUUGUGGUUCCUUUUCCAGGUCCUCUGAGUAGACAGCCAGAGUUUCUUUCAGAGUUGGAUCCCCCCCACUCUGUGUGCAGACUGCUACCAGGACUGCCCUCAGGAUGAAGAAGCAAGAGAAAAGAGAAAAUAAUAAUAAUGCUGAUUGCCUCCAUACUCUUUGGACCACAGAGGCCCUCUUCUUUGUUCUAUAGUCAAAGACAUGAGCUUUCUUUAUGGAUCCUAGUACCCAAAUUGCUGCUGCCGUGGCAAAUUGCCCUAAGAUUUAGGGCUUUACACAAGAAACAUUUAGUAUCUGACGUUUUCUGUAGCUUAGGAUGUUAAGUGUUGCUGAGCUGGGUUUUCUGGUGCAUAGCAUCUCACGAGGUUGCAGUUACGAUGCCGCCUAGGGCUACAGUCAUCUCCGGGCUGGGCGGUGGGAGGCCCUGCUUCGGAACAUACGGCCAUGGACAGGCUUCAGAAGUUCCACUCUGAAGGUCGCUACAUGGCUAUCGACAGGCUGCUGGUCCUUGCUGGCUGUUGGCCAGAGACCUGAGUUCCUUGCCACGCGGACCUCUCCAUAGGGCAUCCCGUAACUUCUCCUCAGAGCAAGUGAGGGAGAGAGUGAAAGAGCGUGAGCAAAAUGGAAAGCAGAGUCUUUUGUAACCUAAUCGUGAAAGUGACAUCCCAACACUUUAGCCAUAUUUUAUUUGUUGGAAGUAAGUCAUGAAGUGCAACCCACAUUCAAGGAGAAAGAAUUACAAAGGGCAUGAAUAUCAGGAGGGAGGGGUCUUCAGGGGCCAUUUCAGAAGUUGCCUACCACACUUUCCUCAACCAAAUGCCUGGUGUGCAUGAUCUUAAAGAGCAUAUUAUAUUUUCAGACCUUACCCAUGUAGCAUGGAAGAAUAUAAAAUACUGUCGCAUGUUUGGUUUUCUUUCUUUCCUGGCAAACAUAGAUUCCAUCUGGGUUCAAUAGAAAUUAAGGAUGUUGAAAAAUGCAAGACAGAUCUAGAAAGAGCCAAGGAUAUGGAAAAUAAAUGUGGGUAUGUUUGGUGCAUCAUUUUAAUGCUAGAAUCGUUUCCUAGUCUGAAUAUUGUUAGGCAAAUGAAGUAUAAGAAACAUCUGGCUAGAGGAAAACAAGGCACAGAUUAACAGGAUGAACAGAAGUUAGUGGAGUAUGUUAUUUCAUUUUAAACUGUUCAAGUUUGCAAACAUUGUAAGUCUGAGAUCAAAUCACAUUCCAUAAGGGAUAAAUUAAGCUACUGCAAAUUGGUCCUUUAUCAAGUAGUGAAAUAAGAGAAGUUCCUGUUUUUUAGACUUUACAUCAGCUUAAGACACAUUGAGUACAUUAACGCUCUUUGAAGGAUUAGAAUCCUUAGGAAUGAGGCUGGCAAGAUGAAGAAUAGCUAAGAUAUCUUUAAAAGUCACAGAUUUGCAGGGCACCUGGGUGGCUGAGUCCAUUAAGCAUGUAACUCUUGAUUUUGGCUCAGGUCACAAUCUCACAGUUUGUGGGAGUUCCAGCCGCACAUCGGGCUCUGCGCUGACAGUGUGGAGCCUGCUUGGGAUUCUCU